This 66-nucleotide transfer RNA is filed under the name Eucryptorrhynchus scrobiculatus. RNAcentral's name for it is "tRNA-Val". Lineage: Eukaryota; Metazoa; Arthropoda; Insecta; Coleoptera; Curculionidae. The record is from RNAcentral.
CAAGUUAAAGCUUAGGGGAAGCAUUUUAGUUACAUUAAAAAGAUUACUGUUAUUAGUAUAAUUUGA